Molecule: long non-coding RNA, 565 nt
Organism: Labeo rohita (rohu)
Lineage: Eukaryota; Metazoa; Chordata; Actinopteri; Cypriniformes; Cyprinidae
Exons: 4
Source: RefSeq, a predicted model, not a curated record
CAAUAACAAAACAGCGGAGACUGCGACACACGGAAGGUGUUCUGACGAUCUGUCCUACCCGCUCAGGAUGUGCUACUGCUGGAGAACCAUACCGUGCAGCAAUAGGUUAGCAGACUCUCUAUGGCUGAACGGUAGAAGUUGGUCAGCAGGUUUUGAGUGUGCUGGGCGUACUUCAACUUCUUGAGGAAGUAAAGUUCCUGUUGUGCCUUCCUCACCUGCUGGAAGACGUGCGUAGACCAGGAUACAGCUGAGAUGACGAUGUGAUUCAACAAGGCUGACGAUAUAGUUGAAUGUACUACUGCAAACAUUUAAUAUUCAGCUGUACUCAACACUUGCUGAAUUCAGAUGCAGUGUUUCUCUCCUCCAGUUGGUGGCGCCACGACUCUAAGCCUAAAACUGCAGUUUAAAAUAAUCAGCAGCACUUCAUGAGCUUUUUCUUGAUCUUACUCUAAUUAUCUCAACAUUACCGAUUUUUAACAAAUAUAUCAUUUCAAAACGCAUUUCUUAUUUACAGUAACUCCAAACGGUGAACAUCUUCAAAACAAAUUCAACCAAGAGAAAAGAA